This 908-nucleotide ribosomal RNA is filed under the name uncultured bacterium. RNAcentral describes it as "bacterial SSU rRNA". It matches the Rfam family "Bacterial small subunit ribosomal RNA", at positions 8 to 916 of the family's 1533-position model. The record is from RNAcentral.
AGAGUUUGAUCAUGGCUCAGGAUGAACGCUAGCGACAGGCCUAACACAUGCAAGUCGAGGGGUAACAGGGGCUUCGGCCCGCUGACGACCGGCGCACGGGUGAGUAACGCGUAUGCAACCUGCCUGUAACAGCGGGAUAGCUCCUGAAAGGGGAAUUAACACCGCAUAAGACCACGCUCUCGCAUGGGGACGGGGUAAAAUAUUUAUAGGUUACAGAUGGGCAUGCGUGACAUUAGUUAGUUGGUGAGGUAACGGCUCACCAAGACUGCGAUGUCUAGGGGUUCUGAGAGGAAGGUCCCCCACACUGGAACUGAGACACGGUCCAGACUCCUACGGGAGGCAGCAGUGAGGAAUAUUGAUCAAUGGACGCAAGUCUGAACCAGCCAUGUCGCGUGCAGGAUGACUGCCCUAUGGGUUGUAAACUGCUUUUAUAUUGGAAGAAUUGCGCUUACGAGUUAAGCGUUUGACGGUACAUUAUGAAUAAGGAUCGGCUAACUCCGUGCCAGCAGCCGCGGUAAUACGGAGGAUCCGAGCGUUAUCCGGAUUUAUUGGGUUUAAAGGGUGCGUAGGCGGAAAUGUAAGUCAGUGGUGAAAUCCUGCAGCUUAACUGUAGAAUAGCCGUUGAAACUGUGUUUCUUGAGUACAUUUGAGGUAGGCGGAAUGUGGUGUGUAGCGGUGAAAUGCAUAGAUAUACCACAGAACACCGAUUGCGAAGGCAGCUUACUAAACUGUCACUGACGCUGAUGCACGAAAGCGUGGGUAUCAAACAGGAUUAGAUACCCUGGUAGUCCACGCUGUAAACGAUGAUUACUGGUUGUUUGCGAUACACUGCAAGUGACUGAGCGAAAGCAUUAAGUAAUCCACCUGGGGAGUACGUCGGCAACGAUGAAACUCAAAGGAAUUGACGG